Non-coding RNA from Teladorsagia circumcincta, 77 nucleotides. The record is from the annotation of a GenBank genome assembly. Lineage: Eukaryota; Metazoa; Nematoda; Chromadorea; Rhabditida; Trichostrongylidae.
GCGUUUCCGAUGUUGUCUAGUGGUUAGGAUUUGCGGUUCUCACCCGCAAAGCCCGAGAUCGAUUCCCGGCCGAUGCA